This 1683-nucleotide ribosomal RNA is filed under the name Escherichia coli. RNAcentral's name for it is "partial 23S ribosomal RNA". It matches the Rfam family "Bacterial large subunit ribosomal RNA", at positions 1 to 1719 of the family's 2925-position model. The record is from RNAcentral. Lineage: Bacteria; Pseudomonadati; Pseudomonadota; Gammaproteobacteria; Enterobacterales; Enterobacteriaceae.
GGGUUGUGAGGUUAAGCGACUAAGCGUACACGGUGGAUGCCCUGGCAGUCAGAGGCGAUGAAGGACGUGCUAAUCUGCGAUAAGCGUCGGUGAGGUGAUAUGAACCGUUAUAACCGGCGAUUUCCGAAUGGGGAAACCCAGUGUGUUUCGACACACUAUCAUUAACUGAAUCCAUAGGUUAAUGAGGCGAACCGGGGGAACUGAAACAUCUAAGUACCCCGAGGAAAAGAAAUCAACCGAGAUUCCCCCAGUAGCGGCGAGCGAACGGGGAGGAGCCCAGAGCCUGAAUCAGUGUGUGUGUUAGUGGAAGCGUCUGGAAAGGCGCGCGAUACAGGGUGACAGCCCCGUACACAAAAAUGCACAUACUGUGAGCUCGAUGAGUAGGGCGGGACACGUGGUAUCCUGUCUGAAUAUGGGGGGACCAUCCUCCAAGGCUAAAUACUCCUGACUGACCGAUAGUGAACCAGUACCGUGAGGGAAAGGCGAAAAGAACCCCGGCGAGGGGAGUGAAAAAGAACCUGAAACCGUGUACGUACAAGCAGUGGGAGCCUCUUAAUGGGGUGACUGCGUACCUUUUGUAUAAUGGGUCAGCGACUUAUAUUCUGUAGCAAGGUUAACCGAAUAGGGGAGCCGAAGGGAAACCGAGUCUUAACUGGGCGUUAAGUUGCAGGGUAUAGACCCGAAACCCGGUGAUCUAGCCAUGGGCAGGUUGAAGGUUGGGUAACACUAACUGGAGGACCGAACCGACUAAUGUUGAAAAAUUAGCGGAUGACUUGUGGCUGGGGGUGAAAGGCCAAUCAAACCGGGAGAUAGCUGGUUCUCCCCGAAAGCUAUUUAGGUAGCGCCUCGUGAAUUCAUCUCCGGGGGUAGAGCACUGUUUCGGCAAGGGGGUCAUCCCGACUUACCAACCCGAUGCAAACUGCGAAUACCGGAGAAUGUUAUCACGGGAGACACACGGCGGGUGCUAACGUCCGUCGUGAAGAGGGAAACAACCCAGACCGCCAGCUAAGGUCCCAAAGUCAUGGUUAAGUGGGAAACGAUGUGGGAAGGCCCAGACAGCCAGGAUGUUGGCUUAGAAGCAGCCAUCAUUUAAAGAAAGCGUAAUAGCUCACUGGUCGAGUCGGCCUGCGCGGAAGAUGUAACGGGGCUAAACCAUGCACCGAAGCUGCGGCAGCGACACUAUGUGUUGUUGGGUAGGGGAGCGUUCUGUAAGCCUGUGAAGGUGUACUGUGAGGUAUGCUGGAGGUAUCAGAAGUGCGAAUGCUGACAUAAGUAACGAUAAAGCGGGUGAAAAGCCCGCUCGCCGGAAGACCAAGGGUUCCUGUCCAACGUUAAUCGGGGCAGGGUGAGUCGACCCCUAAGGCGAGGCCGAAAGGCGUAGUCGAUGGGAAACAGGUUAAUAUUCCUGUACUUGGUGUUACUGCGAAGGGGGGACGGAGAAGGCUAUGUUGGCCGGGCGACGGUUGUCCCGGUUUAAGCGUGUAGGCUGGUUUUCCAGGCAAAUCCGGAAAAUCAAGGCUGAGGCGUGAUGACGAGGCACUACGGUGCUGAAGCGACAAAUGCCCUGCUUCCAGGAAAAGCCUCUAAGCAUCAGGUAACAUCAAAUCGUACCCCAAACCGACACAGGUGGUCAGGUAGAGAAUACCAAGGCGCUUGAGAGAACUCGGGUGAAGGAACUAGGCA